CCUACGGGGGGCAGCAGUGGGGAAUAUUGCACAAUGGGGGGAACCCUGAUGCAGCGACGCCGCGUGGGUGAAGGAGUAUUUCGGUAUGUAAAGCCCUAUCAGCAGGGAAGAACAAUGACGGUACCUGACUAAGAAGCACCGGCUAAAUACGUGCCAGCAGCCGCGGUAAUACGUAUGGUGCAAGCGUUAUCCGGAUUUACUGGGUGUAAAGGGAGCGCAGGCGGCGCGUUAAGCCUGGUGUGAAAGUCCGCGGCCCAACCGCGGGACUGCAUUGGGAACUGGCGCGCUGGAGUGCCGGAGGGGUAGGCGGAAUUCCUAGUGUAGCGGUGAAAUGCGUAGAUAUAUGGAAGAACACCAGUGGCGAAAGCGGCUCUCUGGUCUGUAACUGACGCUGAGGUUCGAAAGCGUGGGUAGCAAACAGGAUUAGAUACCCUAGUAGUC
This 441-nucleotide ribosomal RNA is filed under the name uncultured bacterium. RNAcentral describes it as "partial 16S ribosomal RNA". It matches the Rfam family "Bacterial small subunit ribosomal RNA", at positions 338 to 795 of the family's 1533-position model. The record is from RNAcentral.